GUGAGGAAUUUUGCGCAAUGGCCGCAAGGCUGACGCAGCAACGCCGCGUGGGUGAUGAAGGCCUUCGGGUCGUAAAGCCCUGUCAGGUGGGAAGAAAGGCUUGGAGAAGCAACGCUUUGAGUUUGACGGUACCACCAGAGGAAGCACCGGCUAACUCCGUGCCAGCAGCCGCGGUAAUACGGAGGGUGCGAGCGUUAUUCGGAAUUACUGGGCGUAAAGCGCGUGUAGGCGGGGAUGCAAGUCUGAUGUGAAAGCCCUGGGCUUAACCUGGGAAGUGCAUUGGAAACUGCAUUUCUUGAGUACUGGAGAGGAAGGGGGAAUUCCCGGUGUAGAGGUGAAAUUCGUAGAGAUCGGGAGGAAUACCAGUGGCGUAGGCGCCCUUCUGGACGGUAACUGACGCUGAGACGCGAAAGCGUGGGGAGCAAACAGGAUUAGAAACCCUGGUAGCC
This 449-nucleotide ribosomal RNA is filed under the name uncultured bacterium. RNAcentral's name for it is "partial 16S ribosomal RNA". It matches the Rfam family "Bacterial small subunit ribosomal RNA", at positions 354 to 795 of the family's 1533-position model. The record is from RNAcentral.